CUUUACUGUAACUUGAAAUUGAAAUUGGACUUUAUUUGCGCAGUAUAGGUGGGAGGCGUUGAGUAGAUUCUUGCGGGAAUUUAGGAGCCAUCAGUGAGAUACCACUCUGGUAAUGUUAGAUUUCUAACUUUGGAUCAUUAUCUGGUCAAAGAACAGUUUCAGGCGGGCAGUUUGACUGGGGCGGUCGCCUCCCAAAUGGUAACGGAGGCGUACAAAGGUUUCCUCUGAACGUGUAGAAAUCGUAUCUAGAGUGUAAAGGCAUAAGGAAGCUUGACUGUGAGACCUACAAGUCGAGCAGGGACGAAAGUCGGUCUUAGUGAUCUGACGGCGCUGAGUGGAAAGGCCGCCACUCAACGGAUAAAAGUUA
RNAcentral lists this ribosomal RNA (367 nucleotides) under uncultured organism. RNAcentral describes it as "bacterial LSU rRNA". It matches the Rfam family "Bacterial large subunit ribosomal RNA", at positions 2099 to 2465 of the family's 2925-position model. The record is from RNAcentral.